This 497-nucleotide ribosomal RNA is filed under the name uncultured bacterium. RNAcentral describes it as "partial 16S ribosomal RNA". It matches the Rfam family "Bacterial small subunit ribosomal RNA", at positions 28 to 507 of the family's 1533-position model. The record is from RNAcentral.
GAUGAACGCUGGCGGCGUGCCUAAUACAUGCAAGUCGAGCGAACGGACGAGAAGCUUGCUUCUCUGAUGUUAGCGGCGGACGGGUGAGUAACACGUGGAUAACCUACCUAUAAGACUGGGAUAACUUCGGGAAACCGGAGCUAAUACCGGAUAAUAUUUUGAACCGCAUGGUUCAAAAGUGAAAGACGGUCUUGCUGUCACUUAUAGAUGGAUCCGCGCUGCAUUAGCUAGUUGGUAAGGUAACGGCUUACCAAGGCAACGAUGCAUAGCCGACCUGAGAGGGUGAUCGGCGACACUGGAACUGAGACACGGUCCAGACUCCUACGGGAGGCAGCAGUAGGGAAUCGUCCGCAAUGGGCGAAAGCCUGACGGAGCAACGCCGCGUGAGUGAUGAAGGUCUUCGGAUCGUAAAACUCUGUUAUUAGGGAAGAACAUAUGUGUAAGUAACUGUGCACAUCUUGACGGUACCUAAUCAGAAAGCCACGGCUAACUACGUG